UACGUAGGGUGCAAGCGUUGUCCGGAAUUAUUGGGCGUAAAGAGCUCGUAGGCGGUCUGUCGCGUCGAAUGUGAAAACCCGGGGCUCAACCCCGGGCCUGCAUUCGAUACGGGCAGACUAGAGGUAUGCAGGGGAGAACGGAAUUCCUGGUGUAGCGGUGAAAUGCGCAGAUAUCAGGAGGAACACCAAUGGCGAAGGCAGCUCGCUGGGACGGUACUGACGCUGAGGCGCGAAAGCGUGGGGAGCAAACAGG
Molecule: ribosomal RNA, 253 nt
Filed under: uncultured bacterium
Lineage: Bacteria
Description: partial 16S ribosomal RNA
Rfam family: Bacterial small subunit ribosomal RNA
Source: RNAcentral